GGGCGUGUGGCGCAGUUGGUAGCGCGCUUCCUUAGCAUGGAAGAGGUCUUGGGUUCAAUUCCCAACUCGUCCA
The sequence is a transfer RNA, 73 nucleotides long. It matches the Rfam family "tRNA". Rfam says of the family: Transfer RNA (tRNA) molecules are approximately 80 nucleotides in length. Their secondary structure includes four short double-helical elements and three loops (D, anti-codon, and T loops). Further hydrogen bonds mediate the characteristic L-shaped molecular structure. tRNAs have two regions of fundamental functional importance: the anti-codon, which is responsible for specific mRNA codon recognition, and the 3' end, to which the tRNAs corresponding amino acid is attached (by aminoacyl-tRNA synthetases). tRNAs cope with the degeneracy of the genetic code in two manners: having more than one tRNA (with a specific anti-codon) for a particular amino acid; and 'wobble' base-pairing, i.e. permitting non-standard base-pairing at the 3rd anti-codon position. The record is from Rfam.